RNAcentral lists this ribosomal RNA (324 nucleotides) under uncultured bacterium. RNAcentral's name for it is "bacterial SSU rRNA". It matches the Rfam family "Bacterial small subunit ribosomal RNA", at positions 28 to 334 of the family's 1533-position model. The record is from RNAcentral.
GACGAACGCUGGCGGCGUGCUUAACACAUGCAAGUCGAACGGAGCACCCCUGAAGGAGUUUUCGGACAACGGAUGGGAAUGCUUAGUGGCGGACUGGUGAGUAACGCGUGAGGAACCUGCCUUCCAGAGGGGGACAACAGUUGGAAACGACUGCUAAUACCGCAUGAUGCGUUGGAGUCGCAUGACUCCGACGUCAAAGAUUUAUCGCUGGAAGAUGGCCUCGCGUCUGAGUAGCUAGUUGGUGAGGUAACGGCCCACCAAGGCGACGAUCAGUAGCCGGACUGAGAGGUUGGCCGGCCACAUUGGGACUGAGAUACGGCCCAG